GGCUGGGUCCUGCGCAACGGCUCCCCGUGAACCGAGUCAGGGUCGGAAGGCAGCAGCUCUCAGCGGGCCCGGCCGGGUGCCGCAGCCAACCUGGCCGCC
This 99-nucleotide signal recognition particle RNA is filed under the name Acidimicrobiales bacterium. RNAcentral describes it as "signal recognition particle sRNA small type". It matches the Rfam family "Bacterial small signal recognition particle RNA". From Rfam's summary of the family: The signal recognition particle (SRP) is a universally conserved ribonucleoprotein involved in the co-translational targeting of proteins to membranes. Archaeal SRP consists of a 7S RNA and homologues of the eukaryotic SRP19 and SRP54 proteins. The record is from RNAcentral. RNAcentral also lists the same sequence under 1 other name. Lineage: Bacteria; Bacillati; Actinomycetota; Acidimicrobiia; Acidimicrobiales.